UUCGCCAACUAAUGGGCAGCUAAACUUUUUAACUCAAUCGCAGAACCAAAACUGCGUAAGUGGCGAAGUGUUUCAAGGAAACAUUUUGUGCUGAGAAUGUGGCUGAAAGCAAGUACGCAAUCAGUCUGCAAAACACAUAGGGUAAACAAAUUUAGGCAAAAGUCGAUAGGACAGCACUCCUGUCGACUUUUU
The submitters of this non-coding RNA (192 nucleotides) gave its source as unclassified sequences. The record is from Rfam.